AACACGGUGGUCUAGCGGUUAGAACGCUGGUCUCUUAAUCCUGGGGGUCUCAGGUUCGAUUCCCGGCGGUGUUG
RNAcentral lists this transfer RNA (74 nucleotides) under Zootermopsis nevadensis. It matches the Rfam family "tRNA". Rfam says of the family: Transfer RNA (tRNA) molecules are approximately 80 nucleotides in length. Their secondary structure includes four short double-helical elements and three loops (D, anti-codon, and T loops). Further hydrogen bonds mediate the characteristic L-shaped molecular structure. tRNAs have two regions of fundamental functional importance: the anti-codon, which is responsible for specific mRNA codon recognition, and the 3' end, to which the tRNAs corresponding amino acid is attached (by aminoacyl-tRNA synthetases). tRNAs cope with the degeneracy of the genetic code in two manners: having more than one tRNA (with a specific anti-codon) for a particular amino acid; and 'wobble' base-pairing, i.e. permitting non-standard base-pairing at the 3rd anti-codon position. The record is from Rfam by way of RNAcentral. Lineage: Eukaryota; Metazoa; Arthropoda; Insecta; Blattodea; Termopsidae.